RNAcentral lists this ribosomal RNA (499 nucleotides) under uncultured soil bacterium. Its description in RNAcentral is "bacterial SSU rRNA". It matches the Rfam family "Bacterial small subunit ribosomal RNA", at positions 26 to 518 of the family's 1533-position model. The record is from RNAcentral.
AGAUUGAACGCUGGCGGCAUGCCUUACACAUGCAAGUCGAACGGCAGCACGGGGGCAACCCUGGUGGCGAGUGGCGAACGGGUGAGUAAUGCAUCGGAACGUGCCCAGUAGUGGGGGAUAACUAGUCGAAAGAUUAGCUAAUACCGCAUACGACCUACGGGUGAAAGCGGGGGAUUCGCAAGAACCUCGCGCUAUCGGAGCGGCCGAUGUCUGAUUAGCUAGUUGGCGGGGUAAAAAGCCCACCAAGGCUUCGAUCAGUAGCUGGUCUGAGAGGACGACCAGCCACACUGGGACUGAGACACGGCCCAGACUCCUACGGGAGGCAGCAGUGGGGAAUUUUUGGACAAUGGGCGCAAGCCUGAUCCAGCCAUGCCGCGUGCGGGAAGAAGGCCUCGGUGUAAACCGCUUUGGCAGGAACGAAACGGCGCGAGCAAAUAUCUCGCGUUAAUGACGGUACCUGCAGAAUAAGACACCGGCUAACUACGUAGCCAGCAGCCGA